AACGCGAAGAACCUUACCUACCCUUGACAUGUACAGAAUCCCGAAGAGAUUUGGGAGUGUUCGAAAGAAAACUGUAACACAGGUGCUGCAUGGCUGUCGUCAGCUCGUGUCGUGAGAUGUUGGGUUAAGUCCCGCAACGAGCGCAACCCUUGUCAUUAGUUGCUACGAAAGGGCACUCUAAUGAGACUGCCGGUGACAAACCGGAGGAAGGUGGGGAUGACGUCAAGUCCUCAUGGCCCUUAUGGGUAGGGCUUCACACGUCAUACAAUGGUACAUACAGAGGGCCGCCAACCCGCGAGGGGGAGCUAAUCCCAGAAAGUGUAUCGUAGUCCGGAUUGUAGUCUGCAACUCGACUACAUGAAGUUGGAAUCGCUAGUAAUCGCGGAUCAGCAUGUCGCGGUGAAUACGUUCCCGGGCCUUGUA
RNAcentral lists this ribosomal RNA (423 nucleotides) under uncultured beta proteobacterium. Its description in RNAcentral is "bacterial SSU rRNA". It matches the Rfam family "Bacterial small subunit ribosomal RNA", at positions 958 to 1385 of the family's 1533-position model. Lineage: Bacteria; Pseudomonadati; Pseudomonadota; Betaproteobacteria. The record is from RNAcentral.